CGCUGGCGGCAUGCCUUACACAUGCAAGUCGAACGGUAACGGGCCUUCGGGCGCCGACGAGUGGCGAACGGGUGAGUAAUGCAUCGGAACGUACCUUUCAGUGGGGAUAACGUAGCGAAAGUUACGCUAAUACCGCAUAUUCUGUGAGCAGGAAAGCAGGGGAUCGCAAGACCUUGCGCUGAUUGAGCGGCCGAUGUCAGAUUAGCUAGUUGGUGAGGUAAAGGCUCACCAAGGCGACGAUCUGUAGCGGGUCUGAGAGGAUGAUCCGCCACACUGGAACUGAGACACGGUCCAGACUCCUACGGGAGGCAGCAGUGGGGAAUUUUGGACAAUGGGGGCAACCCUGAUCCAGCCAUGCCGCGUGAGUGAAGAAGGCCUUCGGGUUGUAAAGCUCUUUCGGCCGGGAAGAAAUCGUAUGGGCUAAUACCCUGUGCGGAUGACGGUACCGGCAUAAGAAGCACCGGCUAACUACGUG
This 475-nucleotide ribosomal RNA is filed under the name uncultured bacterium. RNAcentral's name for it is "bacterial SSU rRNA". It matches the Rfam family "Bacterial small subunit ribosomal RNA", at positions 34 to 507 of the family's 1533-position model. The record is from RNAcentral.